AUUGAACGCUGGCGGCAGGCCUAACACAUGCAAGUCGAGCGGAUGAAGGGAGCUUGCUCCUGGAUUCAGCGGCGGACGGGUGAGUAAUGCCUAGGAAUCUGCCUGGUAGUGGGGGCUAACGUCCGGAAAUGGGCGCUAAUACCGCAUACGUCCUGAGGGAGAAAGUGGGGGAUCUUCGGACCUCACGCUAUCAGAUGAGCCUAGGUCGGAUUAGCUAGUUGGUGGGGUAAAGGCCUACCAAGGCGACGAUCCGUAACUGGUCUGAGAGGAUGAUCAGUCACACUGGAACUGAGACACGGUCCAGACUCCUACGGGAGGCAGCAGUGGGGAAUAUUGGACAAUGGGCGAAAGCCUGAUCCAGCCAUGCCGCGUGUGUGAAGAAGGUCUUCGGAUUGUAAAGCACUUUAGGUGGGGAGGAAGGGCAGUAAGUUAAUACCUUGCUGUUUUGACGUUACCAACAGAAUAAGCACCGGCUAACUUCGUG
RNAcentral lists this ribosomal RNA (484 nucleotides) under uncultured bacterium. RNAcentral's name for it is "partial 16S ribosomal RNA". It matches the Rfam family "Bacterial small subunit ribosomal RNA", at positions 30 to 507 of the family's 1533-position model. The record is from RNAcentral.